UGGGCCUGGGGAGGAAGCCUCGGAAAACUGUAAAUAAUGGGCUGGUUUUGCCAAAACCGAUACCCCCCCCCGAGUGCGCCUUUCUGUCGGGGGAAGGAUGGCUCCUGCUCCUUCUCCUACGGCACGGAGGGAAGAGUGCGAUGUUUUCCAGGUAUGAAACGAGGAAGAGGAGGUGUGUGUUUCCUGAGAAAAAGUAGUAGGGGUUGUCCUGGGCUUCCUGUGGGAUUCUGGAGGAAAAAUGAAAAGGUAUCACGGCUUUGUGAGUGCAGUGUGGUGUGUGGUCAUCCCCCCUGUGCUCUCACCACCAGCAAGCAGAAGAUGCCACCUCUGCACACCUUCCUGGAAGAUGAACUGGGGUCCCUGCUGGAAGUCCCCCCUGCAUUUACUGGGGGCUGCUACCUCCUCCAGGCACCAUGUUGACUCCCCAGAAUAAUUAAGCCACUGUCUCAUGGCUUUGCACCCAGUUCUGCGGCUUCUGGAGCUGCUUCUGCUCUCUCCAUGUGGUGAGGAAGGCCACCCAUCCUGCAGAUAGAUGGACUGGACUUUCCUCAGUAAGCACAAUCAGCUCUUGACCACACUGUACAGCCCAUAGAACACAGACGUGGUGAACAGGGCUGGACAGUCCCUCCAGCAGGAGCUGGCAGCAGCUGCAGAGCUAGGACACAACCUCACAACCCUGCACUCGACAGCCUUCUUCAUGGUGCACAGGAGAUCUCCAGCUGUGGCACCUUGCAAGGGAACUAUAAGACAUCCCAAUGGGAACAAUCCCACAUUUCAAGUGGUGUUUAGAGGUGACCUGCUCGCUUCCCUGGAGGAGACAGGGAAGAGACAUGGGGGUCCUCACCAUGCGUGCCUCUGGGAUGAAGUGGUGAAUGCAGAGGUGUGGCAUCCUGAAGUUGGCAGCAGAGGGACAAGCAUGGGCCGACACGGGAGAAGCUUUCGAGGCAUGCAUUUGGACAGACAGGCCAGUAAGCAGCCUCAGCCUAAUACACCCUGUUAUACCCAGAAGAAGCUCUCUCCUUACUGUUUGGAGCGGUGCUGGUAGGAAGGCAAGGAAUAGGUGGAGGACAGGUGGGAAGCCUGCCAGCGGCACAAAGCUCCCCCUCCAUGGGAUUCAGCCAUCCCCACCUUUGCCCAGAGUGGGGCACUGAGAGGACACCACUGCUGGUGUGCAGACAGAGGGUUCCAGGGAGUGAGGGUGGGAAAUGCCCUGGCAGAGCUCAGGGCCCCUGGGGAAAGCAGGAAAAUAGCUGAGAGGGAGAUAAGCCUGGAGUACAAUACCCUGGCUGAGGUCUCCACACAGACACAGUCAGAAAAGCUGCUGCUCCCAUUUCCUAUGACACAGAGGAGCCUUCCAGCAGCACUGCCCUGGGGAGGGUCUGUGCCUGCUAAAGGGCUGCUGGUGUUAGGGGAAGCUGCCAUAGCUGGCAGUAGGUGGGGAUCUACCCUCGCCACCUGGCUGGACUGACAAGCUUGGCAUCUUUUGCAUAUCCUUUUGCUGUGUUGUCAGCAAGACCUGGCUUCCCUCACUUGCCUUCAGGUAUAAUGGUCCCAGUGGAGUUAUGUCCGACUGGCUUCAAGAAGCAGAAAGGGAGAACCAACCCUCCUCUGACAUCCACUUGGUGUAAGCACCCACCUUUUCUGCCAUCAAUGGCAGAAAGAACAAAACUGUCAAACAAAGAGGUCAUGGAGAACACUGGAGGGCAGGUUCUCCAUAGUUCUGCUUUCCUGUCUCACCAGUGCCCUGCUGAAUUUGAUCCACAGACACCACAAAUAGGUCUCCGCAGCAGCCAGUCUUGCCCAUGUGCCACAGGCUCUUGCAAAUUGGACUGGGAACUUCCGGCCUCCUCUGCUGCUGCUGCCACAGGCUCUGAGACCACCUGGUCAUGCCCUUUGUGAUGAAGAAGCUGAGGAAGGAAAUGCUGGCACCUGGCAGCGGAUGGGCAGAGCUGUAUGGGAGAGCAGGGCCUUUCUCUUAGCCCCAUGGUGGCAAAGAGGUUGUCACAUCACCCCAGUGCUGUGCCCGGCAGUCUGAAACGAAGUCCAACAUGCUUUUGCUGGACCUUGCUAUGCCUUGGCCAACAGGCCAAGAUGCCUUUCAACCAGAAGCACAGUACUGAACAGCCCCCACGUUUGGAGAGCUCUCUAAGGUUGGUUUGGACCCAGAGGCUUGGACUCUGUUUGCAUCUCUACCCAUCUUAGCUGCUCAGCUCAGGCCACCUGGAUCAAAGGCUCACCUUCCCUCGCUGAACAUGGCAAAGGGAGUUUGCAGGAUGGGCUGAAUGAAGGAUGUGAUUAGAUCUGCCUCAUCUCCCUCCUUUGUUUAAGGAAAUGUGAUGGCAACCCAUCUCCAAUCUAGCUUCAUCCAGUUUUAUAGAUACGUAAUUGCUCACCUGCUUCAGGAAACCUGGAUUAUUAUUUGGCACCGCCCAGAAGGAAAAUUAACUUUUUGCUGUGAUUGGGAGAAAAAAAUUACAAAUUUGCUGUAUAUACGAUGUGUUAAACAGCCUUCAGGCAGGCUGCAGGGCAGGAGCGAGGGGCGGGGACAGAGCUGGGGGCCUGGGCCUGGGUUAGCAACCUGCAGGAAGGACAUGAAGAUGAGAAGUGCUGCCUUCCUUCCCGCAGCAGUUGUUACGUGUCAGGCCUGCUUAUGCGCUUAACGCUCCUCAGUGCUUUUGCCCUCUGAUAGCCAGAGGCUAGAUAGUGGCCUGCUACAGUGAA
Calidris pugnax (ruff) is the source of this 2721-nucleotide RNA transcript. RefSeq lists it as uncharacterized. The transcript has 4 exons. NCBI's taxonomy places the organism in Eukaryota, Metazoa, Chordata, Aves, Charadriiformes, Scolopacidae. The record is from RefSeq and is a predicted model, not a curated record.